Molecule: transfer RNA, 26 nt
Filed under: Brownleea macroceras
Lineage: Eukaryota; Viridiplantae; Streptophyta; Magnoliopsida; Asparagales; Orchidaceae
Also listed under: 1 other name
Description: partial tRNA-Phe
Source: RNAcentral
UCGGGAUAGCUCAGUUGGUAGAGCAG